This 142-nucleotide non-coding RNA is filed under the name Bacillus sp. (in: firmicutes). RNAcentral describes it as "Bacillus sp. FMN sequence". It matches the Rfam family "FMN riboswitch aptamer (RFN element)". Rfam says of the family: The RFN element is a highly conserved domain that is found frequently in the 5'-untranslated regions of prokaryotic mRNAs that encode for flavin mononucleotide (FMN) biosynthesis and transport proteins. This element is a metabolite-dependent riboswitch that directly binds FMN in the absence of proteins. In Bacillus subtilis, the riboswitch most likely controls gene expression by causing premature transcription termination within the 5' untranslated region of the ribDEAHT operon and precluding access to the ribosome-binding site of ypaA mRNA. The record is from RNAcentral. Lineage: Bacteria; Bacillati; Bacillota; Bacilli; Caryophanales; Bacillaceae.
AAAAAACUUCGGGGCCGGGUGUAAUUCCCGACCGGCGGUGAUAAAGGGAAACCUUUUUAGUCCGUGACCCGCAACCUUUGUUGCGGUGGAUCUGGUGUAAAUCCAGAGCCGACAGUUAAAGUCUGGAUGGGAGAAGUUGUGA